This is a small nuclear RNA of Dipodomys ordii (Ord's kangaroo rat), 101 nucleotides long. NCBI's taxonomy places the organism in Eukaryota, Metazoa, Chordata, Mammalia, Rodentia, Heteromyidae. The record is from Ensembl.
GUGCUUGCUUUAGCAACACAUAUUAAAAUUGGAAUGAUGCAGAGAUUAGCAUGGCCCUGCUCAAGGAGGACACACAAAUUUGUGAAGUGCUAAAACAAAUA